Molecule: ribosomal RNA, 253 nt
Filed under: uncultured bacterium
Lineage: Bacteria
Description: partial 16S ribosomal RNA
Rfam family: Bacterial small subunit ribosomal RNA
Source: RNAcentral
UACGUAGGUGGCGAGCGUUGUCCGGGUUUACUGGGCGUAAAGAGCGCGCAGGCGGCUGGUCAAGUCCGAUGUGAAAGCUCCCGGCUUAACUGGGAAAUUGCAUCGGAAACUGAUCGGCUGGAAGGUGGGAGAGGGUAGCGGAAUUCCCGGUGUAGUGGUGAAAUGCGUAGAUAUCGGGAGGAACACCAGUGGCGAAAGCGGCUACCUGGCCCAUUCUUGACGCUGAGGCGCGAAAGCUAGGGGAGCAAACGGG